GGUAUUGGCCCAACAUGAGCAUUGACUUGACUAUUGGAUUCAGUAAGUGCUACUUGUUGGGGCGGUUGUA
This is a non-coding RNA of Larimichthys crocea (large yellow croaker), 70 nucleotides long. NCBI's taxonomy places the organism in Eukaryota, Metazoa, Chordata, Actinopteri, Sciaenidae. The record is from Rfam.